RNAcentral lists this ribosomal RNA (460 nucleotides) under uncultured bacterium. Its description in RNAcentral is "partial 16S ribosomal RNA". It matches the Rfam family "Bacterial small subunit ribosomal RNA", at positions 338 to 795 of the family's 1533-position model. The record is from RNAcentral.
CCUACGGGCGACAGCAGUGAGGAAUAUUGGUCAAUGGACGAGAGUCUGAACCAGCCAAGUAGCGUGAAGGAUGACUGCCCUAUGGGUUGUAAACUUCUUUUAUAUGGGAAUAAAAUGUUCCACGUGUGGGAUUUUGUAUGUACCAUAUGAAUAAGGAUCGGCUAACUCCGUGCCAGCAGCCGCGGUAAUACGGAGGAUCCGAGCGUUAUCCGGAUUUAUUGGGUUUAAAGGGAGCGUAGGUGGAUUGUUAAGUCAGUUGUGAAAGUUUGCGGCUCAACCGUAAAAUUGCAGUUGAAACUGGCAGUCUUGAGUACAGUAGAGGUGGGCGGAAGUCGUGGUGUAGCGGUGAAAUGCUUAGAUAUCACGAAGAACUCCGAUUGCGAAGGCAGUUCACUGGACUGCAACUGACACUGAGGCUCGAAAGUGUGGGUAUCAAACAGGAUUAGAUACCCCUGUAGUC